Non-coding RNA from Oryctolagus cuniculus (rabbit), 1735 nucleotides. NCBI's taxonomy places the organism in Eukaryota, Metazoa, Chordata, Mammalia, Lagomorpha, Leporidae. The record is from RefSeq and is a predicted model, not a curated record.
UAUGCCAGACCUCUAAACAAUAAACUGUGUUCUGCUGUGUUGCUAUGCCCGUUCAUGAGGCAAGCCAUUUUAAAGUAAAGCAUCUUGGAGAUUCCAAAAGAGCAGAAUGGGGAAGGGGUGUACUGCUUUAGGCUAGGGGAAAACAGCAAAAAAAAAAAGUGGAUGAAGUAUAUUCUUAGGGGAGACUUGGAGAGCAAACUACAGGAAGUGCUGAGGAAGGAAGAAGGACACCGUGGAUCAUGGUGGAAGGCCCACGUGGACGCAAAGCAGCAAGCACAGACACAGCACAUGACCCCAGGAGCUGCAUCAGCUUUGGAGACUGUCGGACACAUUGCUGGGGAAAGCCAGACAUGAGCCUCCUUCAGCACCGGACACAGCCUAGGAUCCGGCUGGGCUCAGGACCUCCCCUCCCCUCUCUAGUCCCACGAGGAAUGUUUGUUCCCGUUCUCUGCUGGGGGAGUUUUUUCAUGGCGGGGCCUCAUCCUCGACGAAGCUGUGGGACUCAGAGCCAGGCUCUAUGUCGCCCGACGAUCCUGCUGACCCCGGCCUCCUGCAGACCAUGGGCCGCCAUACCCCUGGCCGCAUUUCCAGCUUUUCAAGUGGGAAGAAACCACCCCGCGUCCCAGGACUUGCACUUCUGUGGGCCAUCCUCAGCAAGACAUUUUCAUGGAUAUGAAACUGGACACCGAGUUGACGCUGAAGUUCAGCUGCUGGGUAAUCUUCCAUUUCUGGAGCCUGCUCAGCUUCCUUGUAAAACCCGGCUAGGCCUUCACCCUGGACAGGAGCAACUGGUUCGGAGUCAGUGGGGGUGGGCAGCGGCUCAGCCAUGAAGAAGCCGAGAAGUGAUGUCUGCCUCCCCUCCUCCCUCCCAGAAGAUCUGGAUGUGAAACUAACCCAGAGUGGACGCUGAAGCUCAGCUGCCAAGUAAUCUCCCUUUCCCGGAGAGACUGCACAGCUUCCUGCUCAAUGCCAGCUGGGCCUUCAUCCUGGAGAGGAGCAACAGGUAACAGCACUGUCCCUCGUGCCCUCAUAGCUAGAUUGCCAAGCAGCUGUUUGGAAGCAAGUCUUCCCACUACACCAGCCCUGCACAUUGUGUGUCCUCCAGAGGCACCAUAGAUUGGAAAUGAAUCCUGGUGCCUGGCUAGCAAGACAGCAGUGGCCAGUGAGACAUGAGAUCUCAGAAGGAGAGUAUAUGUGGACUUAUCCUCAGGCUCCUCUGUACCCUAGCUUUACUGCAAACACACAGGUAAAGUAUAAAUGGUGUCCACCUCAGAAAUGAAUCGCAUUCUGAGGCUUUUUACUCAUUCUCCUUCUAGUGCUUGGCUUACAGAGUGGGUAUAGAAUGAUGGAGUUACAUACAUGUGUGUUACUUUCUGAGUGCAUCCUUUAAUUCUCCCUGCCUAGGGCCUCAUUGCUCUUCAAGGGCAGGGGAAAAACCACCUCAGAUCAUAUAUUUAUAUCUUCUCUUCUCCCUGAACACUUUGUAACUCUCAGAAUCUUCUAGAAUCCAGGCACAGACAUUCAUGGAUACUCUUAUCUUUUCAGUAGGCAAGAGAUUUUAGAAAGGGAAGCAGUUCUCCUGCCCUGCACCUAUUUUCACUGCACAAAAGUCAGUCAUAUCAAGUGUACAAGUUUAGUAACUGGAGGCCACUGGUGGGCUGCAGCCCAAUUCCAAAAGAAAGACAAUUAUUAUUUUUGGAAACAGUGUCCAAACUAAAAUAAUGCAGAUACAGUA